RNAcentral lists this long non-coding RNA (304 nucleotides) under Theobroma cacao (cacao). RNAcentral's name for it is "long non-coding RNA (TCAC_LNC005420)". Lineage: Eukaryota; Viridiplantae; Streptophyta; Magnoliopsida; Malvales; Malvaceae. The record is from RNAcentral.
CAUGGCCCGAAAUUUAGGUCAUGACAGUUUUCAUAGUGUCAAGAAGUACGAAAGAAAAAGCUUUGGAUCAAGAGGAAAAGAAUAUGGAUGAUCCGCUAGUUCAACCAAGUUAUGGUAAGUGGAACUUUGAUUUUGGUUAUAGAUUUCUUAAGGAAAUGAGUUGGUAAUUGUUGGAAUAUGUUUGUGGUAGCAAAGAUCUACAAGGUUUAAAGGAGAAUAGUUGCAUGCAUGUCACCAACCCAUUGUUAAAUGGUAGAAAUUGAGGUAUAAAGAAAACGGCUUUGGAGGAAUAUUGAAGUGCAUG